RNAcentral lists this ribosomal RNA (420 nucleotides) under Triticum aestivum (bread wheat). RNAcentral describes it as "partial small subunit ribosomal RNA". Lineage: Eukaryota; Viridiplantae; Streptophyta; Magnoliopsida; Poales; Poaceae. The record is from RNAcentral.
AUGGAACCGGCGAGAUUAUUUAUUGUUUUUGCUGGAACCUUUAUUUUUUUUCUUGGUAGAACAAAUUUUGGUUUUUUGCUGGAACCGGUGUUUUUUUUGCUACAUCAGGCUGAUUGUUUUGCUCCAAUAGAUUACUGGAGUUUUUGUUUUGCUUUUGUUGCUGAUUUUAUUUUUGCUAUAAUCGGCAUGGGGAAAGCUUCAACCGUGAAGAAAAGCACCAACCAGAGAGAGUGGGGAAAAGCUUGGAUCCGGCGAGGACCGGUGCUGCGAGGACGGCAAGCCGGCCGGGCUUCGAAGUCAGCGGCAGGGGCGGCCAUCGUGGGCUGCAUGAGUGAGGCGAGGAUGUGCUGGAGAUUCUCUUUUUUGUUUUGUUUCCACAUGAUGUAUCAGAGAAGAAAGGAGAAAGGGGACCAAAUCUGA